GGGGAAUAUUGCACAAUGGGCGCAAGCCUGAUGCAGCAACGCCGCGUGAGGGACGACGGCCUUCGGGUUGUAAAGCCCUUUCGGCCGGGAAGAAAACGUGCGGGCGAACAGUCUGCAUGGAUGACGGUACCGGAAGAAGAAGCACCGGCUAACUACGUGCCAGCAGCCGCGGUAAUACGUAGGGUGCGAGCGUUAAUCGGAAUUAUUGGGCGUAAAGCGUGCGCAGGCGGCGCCAUAAGACAGCUGUGAAAUCCCCGGGCUUAACCUGGGAACUGCGGUUGUGACUGUGGUGCUAGAGUACGGCAGAGGGAGGUGGAAUUCCUGGUGUAGCAGUGAAAUGCGUAGAGAUCAGGAGGAACACCGAUGGCGAAGGCAGCCUCCUGAGCUGAUACUGACGCUCAUGCACGAAAGCGUGGGGAGCAAACA
This 426-nucleotide ribosomal RNA is filed under the name uncultured bacterium. RNAcentral's name for it is "bacterial SSU rRNA". It matches the Rfam family "Bacterial small subunit ribosomal RNA", at positions 356 to 774 of the family's 1533-position model. The record is from RNAcentral.